This 253-nucleotide ribosomal RNA is filed under the name uncultured bacterium. Its description in RNAcentral is "partial 16S ribosomal RNA". It matches the Rfam family "Archaeal small subunit ribosomal RNA", at positions 474 to 727 of the family's 1478-position model. The record is from RNAcentral.
UACCAGCACCCCGAGUGGUCGGGACGUUUAUUGGGCCUAAAGCAUCCGUAGCCGGUUCUACAAGUCUUCCGUUAAAUCCAACUGCUCAACAGGUGGGCUGCGGAAGAUACUAUAGAGCUAGGAGGCGGGAGAGGCAAGCGGUACUCGAUGGGUAGGGGUAAAAUCCGUUGAUCCAUUGAAGACCACCAGUGGCGAAGGCGGCUUGCCAGAACGCGCUCGACGGUGAGGGAUGAAAGCUGGGGGAGCAAACCGG